CAAAUGACUCUCGGCAACGGAUAUCUCGGCUCACGCAUCGAUGAAGAACGUAGCAAAAUGCGAUACUUGGUGUGAAUUGCAGAAUCCCGUGAACCAUCGAGUUUUUGAACGCAAGUUGCGCCCGAAGUCAUCCGGCUGAGGGCACGCCUGCCUGGGCGUCACGC
This 164-nucleotide ribosomal RNA is filed under the name Notoseris triflora x Notoseris khasiana. Its description in RNAcentral is "5.8S ribosomal RNA". It matches the Rfam family "5.8S ribosomal RNA". Rfam says of the family: 5.8S ribosomal RNA (5.8S rRNA) is a component of the large subunit of the eukaryotic ribosome. It is transcribed by RNA polymerase I as part of the 45S precursor that also contains 18S and 28S rRNA. Functionally, it is thought that 5.8S rRNA may be involved in ribosome translocation. The record is from RNAcentral. Lineage: Eukaryota; Viridiplantae; Streptophyta; Magnoliopsida; Asterales; Asteraceae.